This 566-nucleotide ribosomal RNA is filed under the name uncultured bacterium. Its description in RNAcentral is "partial 16S ribosomal RNA". It matches the Rfam family "Bacterial small subunit ribosomal RNA", at positions 355 to 912 of the family's 1533-position model. The record is from RNAcentral.
UGGGGAAUAUUGCACAAUGGGCGCAAGCCUGAUGCAGCCAUGCCGCGUGUGUGAAGAAGGCCUUCGGGUUGUAAAGCACUUUCAGCGAGGAGGAAGGUGGUGAACUUAAUACGCUCAUCAAUUGACGUUACUCGCAGAAGAAGCACCGGCUAACUCCGUGCCAGCAGCCGCGGUAAUACGGAGGGUGCAAGCGUUAAUCGGAAUUACUGGGCGUAAAGCGCACGCAGGCGGUUUGUUAAGUCAGAUGUGAAAUCCCCGGGCUCAACCUGGGAACUGCAUUUGAAACUGGCAAGCUAGAGUCUCGUAGAGGGGGGUAGAAAUUCCAGGUGUAGCGGUGAAAUGCGUAGAGAUCUGGAGGAAUACCGGUGGCGAAGGCGGCCCCCUGGACGAAGGCUGACGCUCAGGUGCGAAAGCGUGGGGCAGCAAACAGGAUUAGAUACCCUGGUAGUCACGCUGUAAACGAUGUCGAUUUGGAGGUUGUGCCCUUGAGGCGUGGCUUCCGGAGCUAACGCGUUAAAUCGACCGCCUGGGGAGUACGGCCGCAAGGUUAAAACUCAAAUGAAUUG